AACGAACGCUGGUGGCGUGCUUAACACAUGCAAGUCGAACGAGAAAGUUUCCUUCGGGAAAUUAGUAAAGUGGCGCAAGGGUGAGUAUCACGUGAAUAAUCUGCCCUCGAGAUCGGGAUAACAUGGUGAAAACUAUGCUAAUACCGGAUAAGACCACAUUUCAUAAGAAAUGCGGUAAAAGGAGUCUCAAUCUUCACUCGAGGAUGAGUUCGCGCAACAUUAGCUUGUUGGUGAGAUAAAAGCUCACCAAGGCUACGAUGUUUAGCCGGCCUGAGAGGGUGAACGGCCACACUGGAACUGAGACACGGUCCAGACUCCUACGGGAGGCAGCAGUGGGGAAUAUUGCACAAUGGGCGCAAGCCUGAUGCAGCAAUGCCGCGUGUGUGAAG
Molecule: ribosomal RNA, 389 nt
Filed under: uncultured Nitrospina sp.
Lineage: Bacteria; Pseudomonadati; Nitrospinota; Nitrospinia; Nitrospinales; Nitrospinaceae
Description: bacterial SSU rRNA
Rfam family: Bacterial small subunit ribosomal RNA
Source: RNAcentral